ACUACGGUAGUGAUGAGACGUGCCUGCACUGAUGAGAUUUACCCGAGGGAGUGGCGGACGGUGAGUAGCACGUCGGUAACCUGCCCAGAGCAGGGAUACACCUGGAUACAGAUGCUAAUACGUAUACAGAGAACCGCCUGGUUUCUUUAAAAGAUGGCUCUGCUAUCACUCUGGAUGGACCCGCGCGCAUUAGCUAGUUGGUGAGGUAACGGCUCACCAAGGCGAUGAUGCGUAGCCGACCUGAGAGGGUAAUCGGCCACAUUGGGACUGAGACACGGCCCAGACUCCUACGGGAGGCAGCAGUAGGGAAUCUUCCACAAUGGACGCAAGUCUGAUGGAGCAACGCCGCGUGAGUGAAGAAGGGUUUCGGCUCGUAAAGCUCUGUUGUUAAAGAAGAACGUGGGUGAGAGUAACUGUUCACCCAGUGACGGUAUUUAACCAGAAAGCCACGGCUAACUACGUGCCAGCAGCCGCGGUAAUACGUAGGUGGCAAGCGUUAUCCGGAUUUAUUGGGCGUAAAGCGAGCGCAGGCGGUCUUUUAAGUCUAAUGUGAAAGCCUUCGGCUCAACCGAAGAAGUGCAUUGGAAACUGGGAGACUUGAGUGCAGAAGAGGACAGUGGAACUCCAUGUGUAGCGGUGAAAUGCGUAGAUAUAUGGAAGAACACCAGUGGCGAAGGCGGCUGUCUGGUCUGUAACUGACGCUGAGGCUCGAAAGCAUGGGUAGCGAACAGGAUUAGAUACCCUGGUAGUCCAUGCYGUAAAYGAUKAUUNYUAAGUGUWGGAGGGUYUCCGCCCWUCAGUGCUGCAGCUAACGCAUUAAGUAAUCCGCCUGGGGAGUACGACCGCAMGGUUGAAACUCAAAAGAAUUGACGGGGSCCCSCACAAGCGGUGGAGCAUGUGGUUUAAUUCGAAGCUACGCGAAGAACCUUACCAGGUCUUGACAUCUUCUGCCAACCUAAGAGAUUAGGYGUUCCCUUCGGGGANYAGWAUGANNCWGGURSYRCAUGSWYGUCGUCAGCUCGUGUCGUGAGAUGUUGGGUUAAGUCCCGCAACGAGCGCAACCCUUAUUACUAGUUGCCAGCAUUCAGUUGGGCACUCUAGUGAGACUGCCGGUGACAAACCGGAGGAAGGUGGGGACGACGUCAAAUCAUCAUGCCCCUUAUGACCUGGGCUACACACGUGCUACAAUGGAUGGUACAACGAGUCGCGAAACCGCGAGGUUUAGCUAAUCUCUUAAAACCAUUCUCAGUUCGGACUGUAGGCUGCAACUCGCCUACACGAAGUCGGAAUCGCUAGUAAUCGCGGAUCAGCAUGCCGCGGUGAAUACGUUCCCGGGCCUUGUACACACCGCCCGUCACACCAUGAGAGUUUGUAACACCCAAAUCCUCGAGAGUUGAUCAUGGCUCCGGAGAACGUAGAGAGUG
Molecule: ribosomal RNA, 1424 nt
Filed under: Pediococcus acidilactici
Lineage: Bacteria; Bacillati; Bacillota; Bacilli; Lactobacillales; Lactobacillaceae
Description: bacterial SSU rRNA
Rfam family: Bacterial small subunit ribosomal RNA
Source: RNAcentral